RNAcentral lists this long non-coding RNA (2135 nucleotides) under Pelobates cultripes (western spadefoot toad). Lineage: Eukaryota; Metazoa; Chordata; Amphibia; Anura; Pelobatidae. The record is from RNAcentral.
CUCCCAUUUUUUAAAAUAUUUUAUUUAUAUUAAAUUGUUUCAUACCUAAAUAUUUUAUGGUAAAUGAAAGCCGUUUCCCCUGAACAUCAUAAGUGUGGGUGCACUUAAUAUGAAAGGUGAAUUACAGUUGAACAGUCAAAUUCCAGGUUUUGAUCACAAUGUGUACAUUUGGUCAGUCCUUAAGGGGGUUAAUAUGUAAAUAUUAACCAACUAAAUUACAUCACAAUGCUGUGUGUGCACACAACAGGGGACUUGUUAUUAAGUGGUUACCACAUACUGUGGGACAGUGCCAAAGCUCUUCCAAACGGCCAAGGUGCCUGGACAGACAAUACCAAGUUAUAGUUCCACCACUCCUUUAGAGAAAGUGGAGCUUCUGCUGAUAAGUUGUGUUAACCACUACUGCGUGCUCGCAGUAAUGGUACCAAGAGCAUCCUGGGUGUAAAACUGCUCUCCAAUUGUUUAACUCCUAAGCGUGGGUGGGUUCUAGGUCCAAGACCAUUAACCCCUUAAGGACACAUGACGGAACUAUGCCGUCACAAUUCCCUUUUAUUCCAGAAGUUGUAUCCUUAAGGGGUUAAAUUGACAUUGGCUCAUAGGAGACAAACACAGAACAUCUGGGAAGGAAAUAUUUCAGAAAGUCUUUCAUUUCAUUAUGUUGCCAACACCAAACAGACAUCACCAUUGGUGGUCUUUGCAAAGAGAUUCACCGCCACUUACCUCCCUUUACUUCAUGAACAUGAGCCCUGGUCAUUCUUCAUUGCUAGUUGUGUGUGAAAGUCAAGCAUAUAGUAAUCUAAAGAAACACCAUAGUCCCUAGAACUGCAGCUUAAUGUAGUGGUUCUGGUAUCUAUAGUCUGUCCUUGUUAAGAGAAAAAGCAGGGUUUACAUUGCUGCCAAGGAAAACAUGUGGUAGUCACUAAGCCUGCCACUAGAGGUGCUGCAAAAUGUUUAGUCUCCAUGCUGAACGUUGCCCAUAGAGAUGCAUUAUUUCAAUGCACCUCCAUGAGGAAAUGCUGAUUGGUGCAGUAGAGUUUUGCCGUGCCAAUCCAAUGCCUUCCUAUGCGAUGGCAUUGGAUUGGCAGAAUUUCAAUUUUGAUGAUCUCCAUAAAGAAGGUGGAGUCCGCUGCAACCAGACCCACCCAGUGCUGUACAAGUCAUUUUACUUUCCUGACAGGGAGCAGCCUAUAUAGCGAUGAUACAGUUGUGUCUGGAAUACAGGUUUGUAAUUCUGACACUUUAGUGAUCCUUUAUAGGACCACCAGUGCUGGUAAUGUGUGACUGGGCCAACCUUGCCAGAGGCAAAAAAGUACACUACACUGUCUAAAUACAAAAAAAAAAAGAAAAAAAAAGAACACUUUUGCAAAUCCAUCCCAAAGAAGAUGUGCAAUUAUGCAUUUUGCCAAUGGGGUAUAUCCAAGGACAGCUUGCACAAGUUGCAGACCACUUGUCUGAUGUCUUUCCAGGUACUCCCCUGCUAAUCCACAAUUUGUAUCGGACCAACCAGACUUCCCAAGGCAGCUCUCUAAGCCAUCAUCUGCCUCAAUUUUAACUCCACUGAGUCAACAAAAAAGUGCCAAUGUCUAUUAAGAGAUGCCUUUUUUGUAAAUAAGACAUGGCAAAACAAGCACGUUCAUGGCGAUUAAGUGACAUGAGUGCGUACAGCGUACCUCUAAUGCGUUAUUUAUCAUGUUGGCCAUGGUGGGUUUUUUAGUCCUGACAUUUUGAACUACAGUAAAGUGUUUAAUGCUCCAUUGUAUGCACUGCAUUUGUAGCAUUGCUAAAAUAUGUGCAUACAUUUAACCCCUUAAGGACACAUGACGUGUGACAUAUCAUGAUUCCCUUUUAUUCCAGAAGUUUGGUCGUAAAAUAUUGCUACGUUAUGACAAGUUUGGACAAAUAGGAAAAAAAAAAAAGGCACAAAUCCAAAUCAACAUAAGUUGUUAAACAGCAGGUGGAUUCCUCAAGUUUGACAAGUGUUCCAGUUCAUAAAUGUAACAUUUUGAAUUUUAAUGAGAUAAUUUUGUGAAAGCCAGUUUUUUAUUAAACAAAUCAAGAAUUUGAUAAUUGAGCAGCUUCCAUUAUUUGUGCUCCCUUAUCUGAUGUGUUCUAGUCUCCAGGCAUGUCCAUGGAUUCCC